Molecule: small nuclear RNA, 117 nt
Organism: Paramisgurnus dabryanus
Lineage: Eukaryota; Metazoa; Chordata; Actinopteri; Cypriniformes; Cobitidae
Product: U5 spliceosomal RNA
Source: RefSeq, a predicted model, not a curated record
AACUCAAGUUUUCCUUCAACUACGCAUAAAUCUUUUUCCUUUUACCAAAGAUUUCCGUGGAGGGCGACCGGAGGGUGAGUUUAUUGUAUUUUUGGGUGCUCUGCUCACAGCAAAUCU